This 373-nucleotide unclassified non-coding RNA is filed under the name soil metagenome. RNAcentral's name for it is "partial contains 5.8S ribosomal RNA, internal transcribed spacer 2, and large subunit ribosomal RNA". The stretch from base 1 to 122 matches the Rfam family "5.8S ribosomal RNA", at positions 35 to 154 of the family's 154-position model. The record is from RNAcentral.
GAUGAAGAACGUAGCGAAAUGCGAUACGUAAUGUGAAUUGCAGAUCUCUCAGUGAACCAUCGAAUUUUUGAACGCACAUUGCGCCCCCUGGCAUUCCGGGGGGCAUGCCUGUUCGAGCGUCUCUUGGACUAACCCUCGCGCGGGUGAACGCGCGGUCUUGGCGGCGGUGGCGUGCCCAGGUCGGUUGCCACCGCGCUGGAAUCCAUGGGCGGACUCCUGCCGCGUCGCCGAGCGUGAUAGGACGCAUUGGCGCUCGUGCGCGGCGAGGAUGACAGCCCAGGCCCGUCCGUCGGGCGGGGAAUAGCGAAAAUUGGGAACUCCUCGAAUCAGGUAGGGAUACCCGCUGAACUUAAGCAUAUCAAUAAGCGGAGGA